GUCCCCAUCGUCUAGUCUGGUCCAGGACACCAGCCUUUCACGCUGGCGACAGGGGUUCGAAUCCCCUUGGGGACGCCA
RNAcentral lists this transfer RNA (78 nucleotides) under Thermodesulfobacteriota bacterium. RNAcentral describes it as "tRNA-Glu". It matches the Rfam family "tRNA". Rfam says of the family: Transfer RNA (tRNA) molecules are approximately 80 nucleotides in length. Their secondary structure includes four short double-helical elements and three loops (D, anti-codon, and T loops). RNAcentral also lists the same sequence under 3 other names. The record is from RNAcentral. Lineage: Bacteria; Pseudomonadati; Thermodesulfobacteriota.